Molecule: ribosomal RNA, 253 nt
Filed under: uncultured bacterium
Lineage: Bacteria
Description: partial 16S ribosomal RNA
Rfam family: Bacterial small subunit ribosomal RNA
Source: RNAcentral
UACGGAGGGUGCGAGCGUUGUCCGGAAUCACUGGGCGUAAAGGGCGCGUAGGCGGCCUGUUGCGUCCGCUGUGAAAUCCCAGGGCUCAACCCUGGGCGUGCAGUGGAUACGGGCAGGCUGGAGGCAGGUAGGGGAGCGUGGAAUUCCUGGUGUAGCGGUGAAAUGCGCAGAUAUCAGGAGGAACACCAGCGGCGAAGGCGGCGCUCUGGGCCGGAACUGACGCUGAGGAGCGAAAGCGUGGGGAGCAAACAGG